RNAcentral lists this ribosomal RNA (424 nucleotides) under uncultured Ruminococcus sp. RNAcentral describes it as "bacterial SSU rRNA". It matches the Rfam family "Bacterial small subunit ribosomal RNA", at positions 338 to 776 of the family's 1533-position model. Lineage: Bacteria; Bacillati; Bacillota; Clostridia; Eubacteriales; Oscillospiraceae. The record is from RNAcentral.
CCUACGGGAGGCAGCAGUGGGGGAUAUUGCACAAUGGAGGAAACUCUGAUGCAGCAACGCCGCGUGAGGGAAGAAGGUUUUCGGAUUGUAAACCUCUGUUUUUAGUGAAGAAACAAAUGACGGUAGCUAAAGAGGAAGCCACGGCUAACUACGUGCCAGCAGCCGCGGUAAUACGUAGGUGGCAAGCGUUGUCCGGAAUUACUGGGUGUAAAGGGUGCGCAGGCGGGAUUGCAAGUUGGAUGUGAAAUACCGGGGCUUAACCCCGGAGCUGCAUCCAAAACUGUAGUUCUUGAGUGGAGUAGAGGUAAGCGGAAUUCCGAGUGUAGCGGUGAAAUGCGUAGAUAUUCGGAGGAACACCAGUGGCGAAGGCGGCUUACUGGGCUCUAACUGACGCUGAGGCACGAAAGCAUGGGUAGCAAACAGG